CCUCCAGAUGUUUUGAGACUACAAUUCCUAUCAUCCCUGACCACUGGUACUGUUAGCUAGGGAUGAUGGGAGUUGUAGUCCCAAAACAUCUGGAGG
RNAcentral lists this microRNA precursor (96 nucleotides) under Podarcis lilfordi (Lilford's wall lizard). The record is from RNAcentral. Lineage: Eukaryota; Metazoa; Chordata; Lepidosauria; Squamata; Lacertidae.